CGGCUCAUCAACGGCUGCCCCUCCCUCCGUCCCCGACCCUUCCCUACCCGUGCGCUAGCGUCUGGCCUCUGGCAGAGGCCUUGGAGGGUGGGCCUUUGAGCAGCUUGUCUGAGUUUUGAGUCGGACCAGUAAUCGUAUUUCCCUGGGGGCGCGUUGCUGGUUGCCGCACGCUUGCCGCCUCGAACAAAAUCAAGGCUAAGGGACUGGGCCCAAGGACGGCGAGCGGUGGUCGCCUUUGGAAGCCGGGUCUUGCAGUGCUGCUCAUGGAAUAACCAGACUGCCUGAAAGGUUUAAGGGUUCACAGGGUACGUUUGAUUCAGAUGCUUCUGGAACGUCGAAAUUAUCUUCUUUGGAAAGAACCAUCUCCUCUUUGGGCUUCAGGGGCCCAGACUGAGGCGCAAUGAUGAGAGGAUGUGGUGGUCCACUCUGAUGUCAAUCUUGAGGGCUAGGAAACAUGGGUUCAAGCCCUGGUCUGGAAAGAUCCCACAUGCCGCGGAGCAACUAAGCCCAUGCGCCACAGCUACCGAGCCUGUGCUCUAGAGCCCACGAGCCACAACUACUGAGCCUGCGUGCCUAGAGCCCAUGCUCUGCAACGAGAAGCCACCAUGGUGAGAAGCCUGUGCACCGCAAUGAAGACCCAU
Lagenorhynchus albirostris (white-beaked dolphin) is the source of this 641-nucleotide long non-coding RNA. RefSeq lists it as uncharacterized. The record is from RefSeq and is a predicted model, not a curated record. The transcript has 3 exons. Lineage: Eukaryota; Metazoa; Chordata; Mammalia; Artiodactyla; Delphinidae.